Molecule: long non-coding RNA, 278 nt
Filed under: Elaeis guineensis (African oil palm)
Lineage: Eukaryota; Viridiplantae; Streptophyta; Magnoliopsida; Arecales; Arecaceae
Description: long non-coding RNA (EGUI_LNC081820)
Source: RNAcentral
AGUGAGAAAGAUAAAGAAAAGAAUGAAAGAAUUAUGCCCCACAAGCCAAUCGUAUAUGGGAUGCGUUAAGGUGUUUAUUGUAAUUUAUCUUUCAAACUCAUAUAAUUGAUAUUAAUAUUAUUAAUAAAAUUGAUAUUUUUGAUUCAUUAUAUGUUGCAUCUUAUUAAUUUUAAGAUUAUAAUGAACCCCAUAGGUCUGGACAAUAGUUUUAAGGCCGUGAUGAGAUCAUGCCAAUGAGACCCAAAUCUUUGAUAGCCCUGAUCUAAAAUAUUCUUAGU